AGAGUUUGAUCCUGGCUCAGAUUGAACGCUGGCGGCAUGCUUUACACAUGCAAGUCGAACGGCAGCGCGGGCUUCGGCCUGGCGGCGAGUGGCGAACGGGUGAGUAAUACAUCGGAACGUGCCCAGUAGUGGGGGAUAGCUCGGCGAAAGCCGGAUUAAUACCGCAUACGACCUGAGGGUGAAAGCGGGGGAUCUUCGGGCCUCGCGCUAUUGGAGCGGCCGAUGGCAGAUUAGCUAGUUGGUGGGGUAAAGGCCUACCAAGGCGACGAUCUGUAGCUGGUCUGAGAGGACGAC
Molecule: ribosomal RNA, 294 nt
Filed under: uncultured Caldimonas sp.
Lineage: Bacteria; Pseudomonadati; Pseudomonadota; Betaproteobacteria; Burkholderiales; Sphaerotilaceae
Description: partial 16S ribosomal RNA
Rfam family: Bacterial small subunit ribosomal RNA
Source: RNAcentral